GCAAGUCGAACGGCAGCAUGACAGAGCUUGCUCCAGAUGACGAGUGGCGCACGGGUGAGUAACGCGUACACGACCUACCUCAAAGAGGGGGAUAGCCUCGGGAAACUGAGAAUAAUACCCCAUGUGGUUAAUUUAACUAAAAAGAUUAAUUAAAGGCUUCGGCCGCUUUGAGAUGGGUGUGCGUACUAUUAGAUAGUUGGUGAGGUAACGGCUCACCAAGUCGACGAUAGUUAGGGGGCGUGAGAGCGUGAUCC
Molecule: ribosomal RNA, 254 nt
Filed under: uncultured bacterium
Lineage: Bacteria
Description: partial 16S ribosomal RNA
Rfam family: Bacterial small subunit ribosomal RNA
Source: RNAcentral